This 1147-nucleotide ribosomal RNA is filed under the name Trioza anthrisci. RNAcentral describes it as "16S ribosomal RNA". The record is from RNAcentral. Lineage: Eukaryota; Metazoa; Arthropoda; Insecta; Hemiptera; Triozidae.
AUUAACUUUAAAUUAAAAUCAAAAAGUGAUUUAAUACUUUUUUUUAUACUGUGAGGGGGGGACUCAUUAGUAAAAAAAUAAAAGAUAUUUUAUUGUACCUUUUGUAUCAGGGUUAAUUAAAAGAGAAUUUUAGAAUAAUUUCUCGAAAGAAAAAGAUUUAAGUUAAUAAAAUUAUUUAAUAUUUAAAAAUUAAUUUCAAUGUUAAUUUAGAUUUGAAACAAAUUUAGAUUUUUUAUAUCUAGUUACUUUAUUUUUAAUUAAAUUAAACUAAUUUAAGUCUGGGGGCAAAUUUAUUUUAGUAAAAUUUAUAAGGAUAAGCUUGUAAAAUUAAUUAUAGGGGUGUAAUUAAAUUUAAUUUGUUUAUCUAGAAAUAGUAAUCAUUUAGUUUGUAAAAAUUAUUUAAAUUAUUUUAAUUAUUUAAAAAUAACUUUAAUAGGGGAGUAAAGUUAUUUAAUUGAAUAAUUAAAUUAAGUUAACAAUGAUUAAAUUAGUAGAGAGAAAAAAUAUUGAUUAAGAAUUCGGCAAUUAAAAUUUUCAACUGUUUACCAAAAACAUUUCUGGGGGGAAAAUAUUUUUGGUAUAACCUGCUCUAUGCUUAUGUCAAUAGCUGCAGUAUUUUGACUGUACAAAGGUAGCAUAAUCAUUAGUCUUUUAAUUGAAGGCUUGUAUGAAUGGUUGAAUGUAAAAUUAACUUUUUUAUUAGUAUGAAUAUUGAAUUUAAUUUUAAAGUUAAAAAGCUUUAAUGUAUAAAAGGGACGAGAAGACCCUAUAGAAUUUGAAAAUUGAUUUGAUAACGAAUUUUUUGGUUGGGGUGACUAGAAAGAAACGUUUCUUUAAAUUUCAUUGAUGUAUGAUUUUAUGAUCCUAAUUAUUUAGAAAAUAAGAUUUAAUUACCUUAGGGAUAACAGCAUUAUUUUUCUUUUAAGAACAUAUUUAUAGAAAAGUUUAUGACCUCGAUGUUGAAUUAAAAUUGUAAGUAAAUGCAGGAGUUUAUUUAUAUAGUCUGUUCGACUUAAUAUUUUUACAUGAUUUGAGUUCAGACCGGCGUGAGCCAGGUUGGUUUCUAUCUUUUUAGUUUAUUUUAAUUUAGUACGAAAGGAUUAAUUAAUCGAAUUUUUAUUUUAAAGUAGAAUUCUAUUAAUUGUUU